GGGUUUGAGGGCAAUCUGGCUGCAACAUCUGUGACCCAACUGAUUGUCAUGUUUGAUUCCGCUGACCUGACUGGCUAGGCAGGUGCCCCUUUUUCUCCCUCAUUGCUCCAUGUAUUUCCCUUCCAAAUCUGCGAGCUUGGUCAAAGAGGAUGUCUGAGGAGGACUGGUCUUCAGUCAAGCAUAUACAAAUAGCUGUGCUCCCUUGCUAGAACCUCCAAACAAGCUCUUGUAAAAAGCACCUUCAUAAGAACGAAAAAUCAGGUAAGAACUCAGAAUACCUGGUUCUAACUU
Chlorocebus sabaeus (green monkey) is the source of this 291-nucleotide unclassified non-coding RNA. Its record names the gene 7SK. It matches the Rfam family "7SK RNA". From Rfam's summary of the family: 7SK was discovered as an abundant small nuclear RNA in the mid-70s but a possible function has only recently been suggested. Lineage: Eukaryota; Metazoa; Chordata; Mammalia; Primates; Cercopithecidae. The record is from Ensembl.